GAUGAAGAACGUAGCGAAAUGCGAUAAGUAAUGUGAAUUGCAGAAUUCUGUGAAUCAUCGAGUCUUUGAACGCACAUUGCGCCCCCUGGUAUUCCGGGGGGCAUGCCUGUCCGAGCGUCAUUGCUGCCCUCAAGCACGGCUUGUGUGUUGGGCCCCCGCCCCCCGGCUUCGGGGGGCGGGCCCGAAAGGCAGCGGCGGCACCGCGUCCGGUCCUCGAGCGUAUGGGGCUUCGUCACCCGCUCUGUAGGCCCGGCCGGCGCCCGCCGGCGACCCCAAUCAAUCUUUCCAGGUUGACCUCGGAUCAGGUAGGGAUACCCGCUGAACUUAAGCAUAUCAAUAAGCGGAGGA
Molecule: unclassified non-coding RNA, 348 nt
Filed under: soil metagenome
Description: partial contains 5.8S ribosomal RNA, internal transcribed spacer 2, and large subunit ribosomal RNA
Rfam family: 5.8S ribosomal RNA (bases 1-120)
Source: RNAcentral